UAUAAAUCAGGUUUGCACAUUUAUAGUAUAUAUUGAUGUAAAAAAAAAAAAAACUAGGGUCUUGAAAAUGAUGAGGCUGUUUAAAAAAAUGUUGUGUUGUUUACUUUUAAAGAGAUUCUAUCUUUAUUGAAGAAAUACUCCAGCCCUGGAAAGCGACAUAGCAUCAAAUAUUGGAAAAAAUCCCAGGAAAAAAAAAGCCUAACGUUAAUCCUGGCGAGAUGAAAUCUCCUGAGAGUGUAGUCACCGUCUCUCUCAUUGUUCAAGUCCUCACCUGACUUUGCAGAGAACUCAAUAGAAAAAUGAGUUAUGUUCUUCAUUCGGAGAUGAUUCAAAAGUUCCAGUGUGUGGGAUACAGUCAAGAUUACAGGCAGAAAGGAGCUCCUGUAGCAGUCAGUGUUGCAACCAAUCAGAAGAGGCCUUAUGAUCGUCAUGGCAACCUAACAGUUCAAUAUCCAGUCAGGGAGAGACAGAUGUUGGAGUCAUAGAUGAGAUCUGUCUGAUGGAAGAGAUGGUUUGAACUUCUUCCUUCAUCCAUGAAGCCCCUUUUCGACUCCUGUGGAGUUUGGGGUCAUAGGUCAGGCUUUACAUGAGCUUUUGAAAUGUUAAUCAGUUUAGUUUAAGCUAAAAGCUAAUCUUGGAGAAUCUGAGUGCAGAGCAAAUCACACAACCCAAUAAAGUCUCUCUUGCACUAUAGACAAAACAGUUUUAUUAAACUGACAUCUGCUUGUCCAGUAAAAGCUUUGC
This is a non-coding RNA of Poecilia reticulata (guppy), 744 nucleotides long. The record is from RefSeq and is a predicted model, not a curated record. Lineage: Eukaryota; Metazoa; Chordata; Actinopteri; Cyprinodontiformes; Poeciliidae.